GUCCACGCCGUAAACGAUGAAUACUAGAUGUGGGGGGUAUCGACUCCUUCCGUGUCGCCGCAAACGCAAUAAGUAUUCCGCCUGGGGACUACGGCCGCAAGGUUGAAACUCAAAGAAAUUGACGGGGACCCGCACAAGCAGCGGAGCAUGUGGUUUAAAUUCGACGCAACGCGAAAACCUUACCAGGCCUUGACAUUGAGUGAAAUCCCAAGAGAUUGGGACCUCCUUCGGGACACGAAAACAGGUGCUGCAUGGUUGUCGU
RNAcentral lists this ribosomal RNA (262 nucleotides) under uncultured bacterium. RNAcentral's name for it is "partial 16S ribosomal RNA". It matches the Rfam family "Bacterial small subunit ribosomal RNA", at positions 793 to 1055 of the family's 1533-position model. The record is from RNAcentral.